GGCCGAUGCCAAGCUGCCAGAUGCACAGUCCGGUUACGAGAAGGCCUACACCAACGUGCUGGCCGGACACAGCGGUACUAAUCUGGUCUACGAGGCU
This 97-nucleotide non-coding RNA is filed under the name marine eukaryotic metagenome. RNAcentral describes it as "Pyrrolysine insertion sequence mttB". It matches the Rfam family "Pyrrolysine insertion sequence mttB". The record is from RNAcentral.